GAGUUUGAUCCUGGCUCAGGAUGAACGCUAGCUACAGGCUUAACACAUGCAAGUCGAGGGGCAUCAUGAGGUCAGCUUGCUGACUUUGAUGGCGACCGGCGCACGGGUGCGUAACGCGUAUCCAAUCUACCGCAUACUCGGGGAUAGCCUUGCGAAAGUAAGAUUAAUACCCGAUGUUGUUUAUUAUUCGCAUGAAUGAUAAACCAAAGAAUUUCGGUAUGCGAUGAGGAUGCGUCCCAUUAGGUAGUUGGUGAGGUAACGGCUCACCAAGCCUCCGAUGGGUAGGGGUUCUGAGAGGAAGAUCCCCCACACUGGAACUGAGACACGGUCCAGACUCCUACGGGAGGCAGCAGUGAGGAAUAUUGGUCAAUGGACGAGAGUCUGAACCAGCCAAGUAGCGUGCAGGAAGACUGCCCUCUGGGUUGUAAACUGCUUUUAUACGGGGGUAAAAAACGCCACGUGUGGUGUCUUGCAAGUACCGUAAGAAAAAGGACCGGCUAAUUCCGUGCCAGCAGCCGCGGUAAUACGGAAGGUUCGGGCGUUAUCCGGAUUUAUUGGGUUUAAAGGGAGCGUAGGCGGAUGAUUAAGUCAGCUGUGAAAGUUUGAGGCUCAACCUUAAAAUUGCAGUUGAUACUGGUUGUCUUGAGCGUGCGCAGCGGCAUUGGAAUUCGUAGUGUAGCGGUGAAAUGCUUAGAUAUUACGAAGAACUCCGAUCGCGAAGGCAUAUGCCGGGAGCACAACUGACGCUGAGGCUCGAAAGUGUGGGUAUCAAACAGGAUUAGAUACCCUGGUAGUCCACACGGUAAACGAUGUAUACUCGCGAUUGGCGCUAUACAGUCAGUCGCUUAGCGAAAGUGUUAAGUAUACCACCUGGGGAGUACGCCGGCAACGGUGAAACUCAAAGGAAUUGACGGGGGCCCGCACAAGCGGAGGAACAUGUGGUUUAAUUCGAUGAUACGCGAGGAACCUUACCCGGGCUUGAACUGCAGGAGAGGGUGGCAGAGAUGCUGCUGUUCUUCGGACUCCUGUGGAGGUGCUGCAUGGUUGUCGUCAGCUCGUGCCGUGAGGUGUCGGCUUAAGUGCCAUAACGAGCGCAACCCUUUUCUGCGUUUGCCAUCAGGUAAUGCUGGGCACUCCGCAGAUACUGCCAUCGCAAGAUGUGAGGAAGGUGGGGAUGACGUCAAAUCAGCACGGCCCUUACGUCCGGGGCUACACACGUGUUACAAUGGGUGGUACAGAGGGUCGCAAUCUGGCGACAGUGAGCCAAUCCUCAAAUCCAUUCUCAGUUCGGAUUGGAGUCUGCAACCCGACUCCAUGAAGCUGGAUUCGCUAGUAAUCGCGCAUCAGCCAUGGCGCGGUGAAUACGUUCCCGGGCCUUGUACACACCGCCCGUCAAGCCAUGAAAGCUGGGGGUGCCUGAAAGCCGUGACCGCGAGGGUCGGCCUAGGGUAAAACUGGUGAUUGGGGCUAAGUCGUAACAAGGUAGC
Molecule: ribosomal RNA, 1487 nt
Filed under: Prevotella sp. canine oral taxon 282
Lineage: Bacteria; Pseudomonadati; Bacteroidota; Bacteroidia; Bacteroidales; Prevotellaceae
Description: bacterial SSU rRNA
Rfam family: Bacterial small subunit ribosomal RNA
Source: RNAcentral